Pieris napi is the source of this 794-nucleotide long non-coding RNA. RefSeq lists it as uncharacterized. Lineage: Eukaryota; Metazoa; Arthropoda; Insecta; Lepidoptera; Pieridae. The record is from RefSeq and is a predicted model, not a curated record. The transcript is spliced from 2 exons.
GAUUGAGUCGUUUACAUGACUUCUAAACACUACAAUACUAUAUUAAGUUUAAAAUGAAAUAGUUGUAUGUUGAAGUUAGUAUAUAUAAGUAUAUUGAAUUUGGGGCGAGGUUUAGGCUGAAUUAUAACUUCAUAAGCGUUUAUUACCAAAAACAAAACAGAAACACAGAAUUAAAAAAAUACAUUGCUGAAUCACUCUUAACAAUUGCUAUCUUUCUUUUAUCUAAUUUGAGGAAUUAGAACAUACUGCUUUUAGCUAUAAUAGCUGUAUAUGUUUCAGCUUAUAAAAACAAAAGAAUAGCAGCACAAAUGAAGUACGCACUAGAGAGUUCAACUCAAUAGUAAAAUUAACGAUAAGGCCGCCAGUUGCUCUCCUUUUUAUUUAAUUAUGUCAAUUGUACUAUAUUAAUAUAUAUGCAACGAAGUGUUAAUAAAGAAAAUAUAUCAUAUUUAGGACCCAUAACAACUCAUGGAGUAAAACACAAAGUUGUACUUCAAAACACACGCAAAUGAGGUUUUGGUAUAAAUAGAGGUGUGGAGCGAGCCGUGUGCUUUUCCAGCCGAUUAACCGGAGCCCUGAUACCUGGGUAUUGAUCGUGGUUACACGCUUGGUGUAGGCACUUGCACGACAGAAAUAGUUCUUUAGGCCUAUGUUCAUGGACCCGAAACAAUUUGUUACACGAAUAAGUACGAUCGUCGCAAAAGGUUUUCGAGUGCCCAGUUAUGCUGUGCAAUUAAAGAUAGUUUGUGCGUGUACUAGAAUUCAACUAAUAAAUAUCAUCAUUUGUGUUGUCA